RNAcentral lists this ribosomal RNA (477 nucleotides) under uncultured bacterium. Its description in RNAcentral is "partial 16S ribosomal RNA". It matches the Rfam family "Bacterial small subunit ribosomal RNA", at positions 29 to 507 of the family's 1533-position model. The record is from RNAcentral.
AUUGAACGCUGGCGGCAUGCCUUACACAUGCAAGUCGAACGGUAACAGGUUAAGCUGACGAGUGGCGAACGGGUGAGUAAUGUAUCGGAACGUGCCCAGUCGUGGGGGAUAACUGCUCGAAAGAGCAGCUAAUACCGCAUACGACCUGAGGGUGAAAGCGGGGGAUCGCAAGACCUCGCGCGAUUGGAGCGGCCGAUAUCAGAUUAGGUAGUUGGUGAGGUAAAGGCUCACCAAGCCGACGAUCUGUAGCUGGUCUGAGAGGACGACCAGCCACACUGGGAGUGAGACACGCCCAAGACUCCUGAGGGAGGCGCCAGUGGGGAAUUUGGGACAAUGGGCGCAAGCUUGAUCCAGCGAGGCGGCGUGCGGGAAGAAGGCCUCCGGGUUGUAAACCGGUUUUGUCAGGGAAGAAAAGGUUUUGGCUAAUACCUGGGACUCAUGACGGUACCGGAAAAAUAAGCACCGGCUAACUACGUG